RNAcentral lists this unclassified non-coding RNA (2039 nucleotides) under Hevea brasiliensis (rubber tree). The record is from RNAcentral. Lineage: Eukaryota; Viridiplantae; Streptophyta; Magnoliopsida; Malpighiales; Euphorbiaceae.
CUCGAAAUGGACAUAAAGAAACGUUGGAUUAAUCUCUUCAGCUCGACUACUCCAAUGCUUCAAUGAACUAGCCACAGAGGCACUGCCUGCCUAACUCUCAGCUCGCAUAUCUUAUUCUCCAGUUCCCAAAUCUCUCGACUUCAACCUUUCAGAUUCUGUUACUUCGUUUUCCGGUCCAUAUCCUUUACUUAGCAAUAUAGACAUCUUUUUAGUUUCUGUUGUGAGGCUUUCUCUCUUAAUGUCAAGUAGCUCCAGUGACAGCACUUUUGACGCAGAGGAACUUUUGCAGAUUGGGACAAGAUGCAGAGAGCUACAGAAAGAAAAAUACUUGUUGAGUAAAUCUCAAUCACAUAGCUUUGAACUAAUCCAGAUGUUGGAACUACAUGUGAAAUCAUUAUCAAAAGCUCGUGCUGAAGACAGAAAGCACAUUCAGAAAUUGGAAAAAGAGUUAUUGAACUGCACUCAAGAGAUAGAUUACCUGCAGGAUCAACUAAAUGCAAGGAAUGCAGAAGUUUACAGCUUGGGGGAGCAUGUACAUGACCUUGAGUUGAAAUUAGCAGACAUGGAUAAUUUACAGGUGAAGGUUGGUCAGUUACAGGGGGAAAUGAAGAUGUCUGACACAGAGUGCUUCUUAUUGAUACAGGAUUUGAAGAGCAAAGAAUUAGAGCUGCAAAAAUCAGUUUUAUGCAUAGAGAAAUUGGAGGAAUCUAUUUCUUCUUUAACCCUAGAUUCCCAAUGUGAAAUAGAGAGUAUGAAGCUUGAUAUAAUGGCUUUGGAGCAAGCAUGCUGUGAAGCUAAAAGGGACCAGAAGGAAACCACUCUAGAAAAGGCAGCAAUGGAUGAGUUAAUAAAAGGACUGGAGCUUCGAGUUCAUGAUGCAGAGGAAAUUAUAGAAUGCCUAGAAAAGGAGAAUAAAGAACUGAGAGAGAAAUUUUUUACAUCUGAAAUGCAUGCGGGACAAUUUCUUCAAAAGAUAGAGGAGUGGCAAGAAAACAAGUACAAGUCACAACUUAAUAUUCAGCAAAAAUUAAGUGAACCGGAGAGCAAAAAUAUGUCAAGAGAAAUGAGUGCUUGCGGAGAGGUACUUGGUCUACUUUUUUCAAAAUUGGCUAUUGUAUUGGUACCAGAAUCAAAUUUGAAAAACCAAAUGGAAAGAAUGUCUCACCAGAUAAGCGAAUAUGAAGUUCUUUUGAAACAGCUUAAGGUAUGGGUUAUGACCUAUGAGGAUGCAUAAUUACCUUGGAGUGGGACAAUGUUAAUGAGGAAGCUUUGAGAGAGGAAAAAUUGAAGGCAAAGGAAGAAGCUGAUGACCUAGCACAAGAAAUGGCUGAGCUGAGGUAUCAAAUGACAACUUUACUUGAAGAAGAGUGCAAGCGCCGUGCUUGCAUUGAAAACGCAUCAUUACAGAGAAUAGCUGAAUUAGAGGCGCAGAUUCAAAAAGAACAGAGGAAGCCUUUUGGUCAGGCAAUUCCAUGAAGCAUAGGAAUUGGCUGCAUCUAGAACCAUGGGGAUCCAUUAAUUAGAAUGUGUUUUGAGGAGAGUUGUGAUGUUCCAUUGGAUAGCAACAUGUCUGGAUUUGCUGGGCAUUAAUGUCAGCAUAUGGGUUUUAAAUGUGCGUUCACUGCUUACUUCUAUCUGAUAGAUGAUGCAGCACCCUAGGCUCAAGGUGCAUCCAAAUAAGCUGAGAUAAUAUUUUGUUUAGUUAUUUACUCAUCGGCUUGGAGUGGGAUACCUUUUUUUUUCUUAAUUUAUGUCAAUUAGGAAAAGCAUGAGAGUCAAAGCUUUCACAAAUAUGGACAGUCCCCAGUGCAUCUUCUCUUUGGGUGAGGCUGAUGGGUUAUCAUGUUUCGGGUAUAAAGCAUUCUGAGCAGAAAUUGUACCUAAGCUCCACAUUUGAAUGAAGCAUAUUAUUGCAGAUAUAUAUAUAUGGGUGAGCGUUUGAUGUAGAAGAAAUCUAAAUGUACAAGUAUAGCGCAGUCAGUUUUGUAUUUUUACAUUUGUUUUAUUGAUCUAAUUGUCUAUCAUUUGGUGAUUAAAAA